This 254-nucleotide unclassified non-coding RNA is filed under the name Hevea brasiliensis (rubber tree). The record is from RNAcentral. Lineage: Eukaryota; Viridiplantae; Streptophyta; Magnoliopsida; Malpighiales; Euphorbiaceae.
AGUUUCGCCUUUGCCUUCAGGGAGGAAUACCGACAAGUUACCUUCAUCACUGUUAGGUUCUGACCGUAACUGAAACAUGUUUUCACAUUCACCCACCCCACAGCACUGAGAAAUCUGUAGCUGGUAAACUUUUACCGGUGAAACAUGAUGCUUGAUCGUGAUGUAUCUUGUUGUAAAAAAUUGUUCUAGUUCUUGCGAGUAGCUUAUAUAUUUAUCAGGAUUGAAGGCUUUUCCAUCCCCAUAUUACUUGCUUG